RNAcentral lists this ribosomal RNA (2888 nucleotides) under Ambystoma mexicanum (axolotl). RNAcentral describes it as "eukaryotic LSU rRNA". It matches the Rfam family "Eukaryotic large subunit ribosomal RNA", at positions 1 to 2899 of the family's 3401-position model. The record is from RNAcentral. Lineage: Eukaryota; Metazoa; Chordata; Amphibia; Caudata; Ambystomatidae.
CUAUGGCCUCAGAUCAGACAUGGCGACUCGCUGAAUUUAAUCAUAUUACUAAGCGGAGGAAAAGAAACUAACCAGGAUUCCCUCAUUAAUGGCGAGUGGAGAGGGAAGAGCCCAGCACCGAAUCCCCAUUCAGCGGCAGGCAUGGGAAAUGUGGCAUACAGAAAACCGACUCCCCGGCGUUGCACAGGGGGCUCAAGCUCUUCUGAUCGAGGAUCACCCCCCCCCCCCGUAUGGUGUUAGGCCGAUAGCGGCCUCUGGCAUGCUGAGAUCGGGUCUUCUCGGAGUCGGGUUGCUCGGGAAUGCAGCGGGUAUUAAACUCUAUCUAAAGCUAAAUACGGGCACAAGACCGAUGGCCAACUAGUACCGUAAGGGAUAGUUGAAAAGAACUUUGAAUAGAGAGUUAGGGCAUGAAACCAUUGAUAGGUAAACAGGUGGGGUCCAUGCAGUCAGCCCGCAGGAUUCAACAUGGCGGGCAGGUCCGUCGCCUGAAACGGCGGAUGCCCUCACCGGACUGCCGCCCGGGCACACCUGGCCCACUCAGGGUGCAUUUCCUCUGUGGCGGUGCACCGCGACCGGCUCUGGGUCGGCUGGGAAGGCCUCAGGGGGCAUAGUUGGCUCUCCGCUCCGGCAGAGAGUGUUACAGCCCCCUGACAGCAGUUUUGCUGUGGCCGCGUGGCCGAGGGAGAUUGACCGCAGCCCCGCCCUUCUCCGGCAACUGUCCUGGCCCCUCUUUGGGUCGCCAGGGCGGUGACAGGAGUCGGGGCUCCCGAUGCGACUGUCGACUGUGGUGGUCUGCCCUCAGCGCACCCUGAACAUGUCAUGCCGCGGUGCAGUGAGGCCCACGAAGGGUGCCAGCGGUCUGAGGUAAUGUUGGUUACCCACCCGACCCGUCUUGAAACACGGACCAGGGAGUGUAACACGUGCACAAGUCGGUGGGCUGAACAAAACCCUAUGGCACAAUGAAGGUGAGGGCCGGCGCGCACCGGCUGGGAUGCGAUCCCGUUGUAGUGGGUGCACCACCGGCCCAUCUCGCCAGCUCUGUCGGGGAGGUGGAGCAUGAGCCUGUGUGAUAGGACCCGUAAGAUGGUGAACCGACCUGGGUAUACGGGCAAUUAAUCAAACAAUCUAGUAGUUGGUUCCCUCUGAUGUUUCCCUCAGGAUAGCUGGCGCAAGGAAACCCCAGCUUUAUCUGGUAAAGCGAAUGAUUAGAGGUCUUGGUGCUGAAAUUAUCUCAACCUAUUCUCAAACUUUAAAUGUGUAAGAAGCCCGGCUCGCUGGCGUGGAGCCGGGCAUUGAAUGCAAGUACCCAGUGGGCCACUUUUGGUAAGCAAAACUGACGCUGUGGGAUGAACCGAACGCUGGGUUAAGGCACCCCAUGCCGACGCUGAUCAGAUCCCAGAAAAGGUGUUGGUUUAUAGAGACAGCAGGACAGUGGCCAUGGAAGUCAUCUCACCAGCUGAAUCAACUAGGUCUGAAAAUGGAUGGCGCUGGAGCAUCUGGCCCAUACCCGGCCGGCGCUGAGAACCGCAGGGGCUAAGCCGCGAAGAGUAGGACGGCCGCUGCGGUGCACAAGGAAGCCCGGGCUAGGGCCAGGGUGGAGCCGCCACGGGUGCAGAUCUUGGUGAUAGUAGCAAAUAUUCAAACAAAAAUUUUGAAGACUGAAGUGGAGAAGGUUUCCAUGUGAACAUCAGUUGAACAUGGGUCAGUAGGUCCUAAGAAAUGGUCAAGCACCGUUUGGAAGGGACGGGCGAUGGCCUCCGUUGACCUCAGACGUUCGAAAGGGAGUCUGGUUCAGAUCACCAAACCAAGAGUGGUGGAGACAAGCACCCUCGCGGCUUACAGUGCGGUAACGCAAACAAUCCCAGAGAAGCUGGCGGUAUCCCCCGGGGAGAGUUCUGUUUUCUUUCAGAAGGGCAGGGCUCCCUGAAUGGGUUUGCCCCCAGAGAGGUGCCCGAGCCUUGGAAAGUGUUGCGGUUCCGGCGUUGUCCGGUGAGCUCUAGCUGGUCCUAGAAAAUCUGGGGGAGAUGGUGUAAAUCUUUCUCCGGGCCGUACCCUAUCCGCAGCAGUUCUCCACAGUGAACAGCCUCUGGCAUGUUGGAACAAUGUAGAUAAGGGAAGUCGGCAAGUUGGAUCCGUAACUUCAGGAUGGGCUGGGUUAGUCGGGCUGGGGUGUGGAGCGGUGCUGGCAGCACAGCAAGGCGUCUCCCCCCUAUAACCUCCCCAGGGCAGCACUGACUCUGGAUUUGAGCUGGGCCCAUCCUAUGAAUCACCCCAGCUGUGGUGGUCGCCUCUCUCCAUUCCCCUCCCGGGGUCUGUGGCCGGCGUUCUGCCUCGGCUGAUACCUAGCAGCUAACUUGGAACUGGUGCGGACCAGGGGAAUCCGACUGUUAAAUGAAAACAAAGAUUCACUCUAGUCUGGCACUGUGAAGAGACAUAAAGGUGUAGGUUAAGUGUGAGGCCCUUGGGCCGCCGUUGAAAUACCACUACUCAUCGUUUUUUCACUUACCCGUUGAGGCAGGGGGGCGAGCCCCGUGGGACUGUGGCUUCUGGCUCCAAGCGCCUGGUGCACUCCAGGUGCGACCCGCUCCCUGGACAGUGGCAGGUGGGGAGUUUGACUGGGCGGUACACCUGGCAAACCAUAACGCAGGUGUCCUAAGGCGAGCCCGGGGAGGACAGAAACCUCUAACAGAGCAGAAGGGCAAAAGCUUGAUUGAUCUCAUUUUUCAGUAUGAAUACAGACCAUGAAAGCGGGGCCUCAGGAUCCUUCUGACAUUUUGGGUUUCAAGAAGGAGGUGUCAGAAAUGUUACCACGGGAUAACUGGCUUUUGGCGGCCAAGCGUUCAUAGCGACAUUGCUUUUCGAUCCUUUGAAGUUGGCUCUUCCUAUUA